GGCAGCUCCAAGUGAAAAGCAAAAAUAAUCUAAUGAAACUCCAGUAGCGAUCUUGCGACCAGAAAGAUAGCUGACUACCUAGAAUUUCAUCAAGAGCGGUUUAGUUCCCAGACCACUACAGUUUCUUUCGUGGAACACACCGCACCUCUUUCACCUGCACAGCGCAGGGACCCUGAAACACGCGCCACCUAUCUUCACUGGGCGGGAUAAUUGGGGAGCGCCAAACGUGAGCAUCCUCGGGAAAACGUGUUUCAUUUUUUUUUUUCUCACGAUGCGAGAGAAAUGAGUUGAGCCGGACUACCUUGCCGUCCAAGCAAGAAUAAUAUUUGAAGAAAGUUGGAAUACCCCCUCCCUCUCCGGCUCCCGACCUCCGCAACCAUUUCGACAAGAAGGGUUCUAACGGAAAUCAUGCUGGAGCAACUACCGACCCUCGCAGACCAAGGAUCAACAAACAGCGCCGAAAUAUCUGGUUACUUACAAGCAUCUGAGCAUCUGGGGUUCCGGCCGCCCAGCUCAUAUCUGCAAAUGCGCAACCGACUACCUUUUAAAUCAAACGUCUAUUACGGCGCAAUCAAUGGUAAAAACAAAUAUGUAUUUUGGAUGUCUCCAUGUCUCUUUAUGCUGACCUGAUACAGUGAAAGAAUUCCAGCACUGAUCUGAGAAAGCUUCUCGAAGAUUGAUCUCAAAUGACAAGGGAUGUAUACUGCACCUCAAAUUAAACUGCCCUCCUCAAGAUUUAUAUACUUAACUUGAACCAUUCAUAUAUCUUACUUGUUUUUACUAUUCAUGAAGGGAUUUAUAUAUAGAAAGUAUUCAUGCAUGUUUACUUAGACCUGUCAAAGCAGUCAUUUGAUAAAGGUGAUCAUUUUUGAUUAGUUAUCAAAUAGCUUAAUGUGAGAAUGUUUCUCAGUUAGGGUACAAUUAAGCUACUGUUGGCCUGUUACACAUGAGUGUGUGUUAAAAAAACAGGAUCCUUUUUUCUUCCCUCACAGAUAUCUCUCCUGAUUGGUUUUGCUUGGACAGAAACAGCUCGAGUUUGAGAGCGAGAGAGGUCCCUGGAAAACCCCAGAUCUGUGCAAAAAAUGAAAGGGGCGAAUGCACAGGUGGUGGGAAAAUGGAGAACGUGAAAUUCCCAAGCGAAACAGAAGUGGAUUCAGUCGCUUCCUGUCUCUGAGCAACAUCUUCUAAGCGGCCGUGUUCAGGUCACACUGCCGCUGUGUUUCACUGGAAUCAAACAAAUGAGUGCUAACGGCUCAAACAAACAGAACAUUCCCAGGGAAAGUAAUUCUUGGUUGUGUAGCGUCUGCUCUAUCAUUUAGAAUUCAUCAUUCGCAUAAGAAUAAUGCAAUGGAAAAAAAUACAGUUUGUGUAACAGACAGUGUUAACUAGGGAAACUUACAUUUUGACAAAUUACCCACUUACACUGCUGGAUCUUCACUGAAGCAACUCAGGUGAAGUACCCUGCUCAAUAGCACAAUUGCAGUGUCCCAUUCAGGGUUCAACCUUGCAAUCCUCAGGUUACAAGUACAGUUUAUGAAUUGCUACUCUAUGAUGCCGCAUAAGAAUAGUAGCCUAUUAAGAUCAUACCAGAUGGCACAGAUAAAUGCAGUAUUCAGGUGGCUUAAUGGUUAAUGUAACUACCUCAUUUAGAAAUUGUUCUGUAAUGCUAUAUUGCAUAUGUUGGAGUCUGUUCAUUCAAAUGUUUAAGCAAUAUUUUAAGAGUCCAAUAAACCAGAGGAAGAAUGAUAUCUUAUACAAAUUAGCUUUUACUGUAUACUUACUUUUCAUGGUUAUAUCUAAAUGUCAUUAUCAAUAACAUUGUCAGAGUAGAAGUAAUCUAGAUAAUGAAAGAAGUGUCUAUGGACCCUGGAAGUAGUAAAAGUCAGAAAGUUUAUGGCAGCACUGAAAUUUAGAAAGAACUACAAAUGAUGUAUUACUCCCUAAACUAAUAAACCAUUACAGAUGGCUAUCAUAUGACGAUAAGUAUGAGAGAAUCUCAUUUCCACCACAUAAGGUCUGUGCCUUAUGCAGCCUGCAUUGGGCAGUUAAGUUCACUAUGGGCCUGUAUCGUGUGAUAGUUAAUUUGAACACUGAAUAUGUAGUGUUGCAAUACACACUGAAAGUAACAGUGUUACAAUGUUGUUAUUUUUGGUACCAUAGUUAGAGGA
Molecule: long non-coding RNA, 2168 nt
Organism: Megalops cyprinoides (Indo-Pacific tarpon)
Lineage: Eukaryota; Metazoa; Chordata; Actinopteri; Elopiformes; Megalopidae
Exons: 4
Source: RefSeq, a predicted model, not a curated record